This 253-nucleotide ribosomal RNA is filed under the name uncultured bacterium. RNAcentral describes it as "partial 16S ribosomal RNA". It matches the Rfam family "Bacterial small subunit ribosomal RNA", at positions 524 to 776 of the family's 1533-position model. The record is from RNAcentral.
UACGAAGGGGGCUAGCGUUGUUCGGAAUUACUGGGCGUAAAGCGCACGUAGGCGGACUUUUAAGUCAGAGGUGAAAUCCCGGGGCUUAACCUCGGAACUGCCUUUGAUACUGGAAAGCUUGAGUUCGGGAGAGGUGAGUGGAACUGCGAGUGUAGAGGUGAAAUUCGUAGAUAUUCGCAAGAACACCAGUGGCGAAGGCGGCUCACUGGCCCGAUACUGACGCUGAGGUGCGAAAGCUUGGGGAGCAAACAGG